Molecule: transfer RNA, 58 nt
Filed under: Salmo salar (Atlantic salmon)
Lineage: Eukaryota; Metazoa; Chordata; Actinopteri; Salmoniformes; Salmonidae
Rfam family: tRNA
About the family: Transfer RNA (tRNA) molecules are approximately 80 nucleotides in length. Their secondary structure includes four short double-helical elements and three loops (D, anti-codon, and T loops).
Source: Rfam by way of RNAcentral
UGGCUCAGUUGGUAGAGCAUGGUGCGUGCAACGCCAGAGUUGUGGGUUCGAUUCCUAC